RNAcentral lists this transfer RNA (89 nucleotides) under Chloroflexi bacterium ADurb.Bin325. RNAcentral describes it as "tRNA-Ser". It matches the Rfam family "tRNA". From Rfam's summary of the family: Transfer RNA (tRNA) molecules are approximately 80 nucleotides in length. Lineage: Bacteria; Bacillati; Chloroflexota. The record is from RNAcentral.
GGAGAGGUCGCAUAGUUUGGCCUAGUGCGCGCGUCUCGAAAACGCGUAUCCAGAAAUGGAUCGUGGGUUCGAAUCCCACCCUCUCCGCC